UACGAAGGGUGCAAACGUUGCUCGGAAUUAUUGGGCGUAAAGCGCGCGUAGGCGGCUACUUAUGUCGGAUGUGAAAGCCCUUGGCUCAACUGAGGAAGUGCACCCGAAACUGAGUAGCUGGAGUACGAAAGAGGGUCGCGGAAUUCCCGGUGUAGAGGUGAAAUUCGUAGAUAUCGGGAGGAACACCGGUGGCGAAGGCGGGUCUCUGGGCCGAUACUGACGCUGAGGAGCGAAAGCGUGGGGAGCGAACAGG
RNAcentral lists this ribosomal RNA (253 nucleotides) under uncultured bacterium. RNAcentral's name for it is "partial 16S ribosomal RNA". It matches the Rfam family "Bacterial small subunit ribosomal RNA", at positions 524 to 776 of the family's 1533-position model. The record is from RNAcentral.